GCAUUGGUGGUUCAGUGGUAGAAUUCUCACUUUCCAUACUGAAGACCUGGGUUCAAUUGCCAGCCAAAGCA
RNAcentral lists this transfer RNA (71 nucleotides) under Loxodonta africana (African savanna elephant). It matches the Rfam family "tRNA". From Rfam's summary of the family: Transfer RNA (tRNA) molecules are approximately 80 nucleotides in length. Their secondary structure includes four short double-helical elements and three loops (D, anti-codon, and T loops). Further hydrogen bonds mediate the characteristic L-shaped molecular structure. tRNAs have two regions of fundamental functional importance: the anti-codon, which is responsible for specific mRNA codon recognition, and the 3' end, to which the tRNAs corresponding amino acid is attached (by aminoacyl-tRNA synthetases). tRNAs cope with the degeneracy of the genetic code in two manners: having more than one tRNA (with a specific anti-codon) for a particular amino acid; and 'wobble' base-pairing, i.e. permitting non-standard base-pairing at the 3rd anti-codon position. The record is from Rfam by way of RNAcentral. Lineage: Eukaryota; Metazoa; Chordata; Mammalia; Proboscidea; Elephantidae.